AAGUCGUAACAAGGUUUCCGUAGGUGAACCUGCGGAAGGAUCAUUAACAAAUCGAUUGUGUAGAAAAAAAAAGAUUGAUAAGACUUUGGUUUUAUUAUUCUUUUUCUUCUAAACACAUAUUUACGCUUGUAUUGUUUGACAGAGUAAAUUUUAUAUUUAAAUCAGAGACAACUUUUAACAAUGGAUCUCUUGGCUCUU
Molecule: unclassified non-coding RNA, 198 nt
Filed under: fungal sp.
Lineage: Eukaryota; Fungi
Description: partial internal transcribed spacer region
Rfam family: Eukaryotic small subunit ribosomal RNA (bases 1-46)
Source: RNAcentral